RNAcentral lists this ribosomal RNA (254 nucleotides) under uncultured bacterium. RNAcentral describes it as "partial 16S ribosomal RNA". It matches the Rfam family "Bacterial small subunit ribosomal RNA", at positions 524 to 776 of the family's 1533-position model. The record is from RNAcentral.
UACGUAGGUGGCGAGCGUUGUCCGGAUUUAUUGGGUUUAAAGGGUGCGUAGGCGGCUUUGUAAGUCAGUGGUGAAAUACUCCAGCUUAACUGGAGGGGUGCCAUUGAUACUGCGGAGCUUGAGUACAGAUGAGGUAGGCGGAAUUGACGGUGUAGCGGUGAAAUGCAUAGAUAUCGUCAAGAACACCGAUAGCGAAGGCAGCUUACUGGGCUGUAACUGACGCUGAUGCACGAAAAGUGUGGGGAUCAAACAGG